UUAGGGAGACGUGUCCCUACUGUCCUAUCUCUGGAAGCCCAGGAGGUGACGCAAGCAGUUGCUCCGGCGAGAGAAUAACAGGAAGCGGGGACGAGAAAAAAACGGACCGGGCUGCAGCCCAAGAGUUCCGGGUCUCUUCGUUCCUCCCACCUUUCCUAACACGCGCCAGAGGGUCCCUCUGAAAAUGGCAAAUAUUGAAGAAAAAGUCAACUGCGUCCUCUGGUUGGCUGAACUCAAAUCAGCAACAGCUGUAAGAAGAAAAUUUGCUUCCCAUUAUAAGAAAGAGGCUCCCCACAGAAAUUUAAUUAACAACUGGAUGAAAAAAUUCAAGGAAACGGGCUCAAUUCAUGACAAGCCCAGAUCUGGGAGACCUCGAGCAAGUGAAGACACUGUGGCUGAAAUUGCAACUGAAGUAUUUAUAGCACAAGAUGGUGGCUAUGUUGAAUUUUAAUAAGAAACUUAUCAGUAUUUUAAAAUUUUAAAUAAUUUUUAAGUGUUAUUUGUUAGUUUGUAGCAUUUAUACUUCUGAAGUUAUUAAAGCUUAGAAUGCACUAAUAGUUUUGGGACAUCUUAUAUUUGUAGUCUGAGGGGCUGGGUUCUAGACAUGGUUCUGCUGCUUUGUACACAUGUAAAUUUAGAUAAGCCAUUUAACUUCUCUGGACUUCAGUUUUCUUAUUAAUAAAAUCCAGGGAUUGAAUUAAAA
This is a long non-coding RNA of Antechinus flavipes (yellow-footed antechinus), 703 nucleotides long. RefSeq lists it as uncharacterized. NCBI's taxonomy places the organism in Eukaryota, Metazoa, Chordata, Mammalia, Dasyuromorphia, Dasyuridae. The transcript is spliced from 2 exons. The record is from RefSeq and is a predicted model, not a curated record.